RNAcentral lists this ribosomal RNA (469 nucleotides) under uncultured bacterium. Its description in RNAcentral is "partial 16S ribosomal RNA". It matches the Rfam family "Bacterial small subunit ribosomal RNA", at positions 27 to 507 of the family's 1533-position model. The record is from RNAcentral.
GGACGAACGCUGGCGGCGUGCUUAACACAUGCAAGUCGAACGGAAAGGCCCUGCUUUUGUGGGGUGCUCGAGUGGCGAACGGGUGAGUAACACGUGAGUAACCUGCCCUUGACUUUGGGAUAACUUCAGGAAACUGGGGCUAAUACCGGAUAGGAGCUCCUGCUGCAUGGUGGGGGUUGGAAAGUUUCGGCGGUUGGGGAUGGACUCGCGGCUUAUCGGCUUGUUGGUGGGGUAGUGGCUUACCAAGGCUUUGACGGGUAGCCGGCCUGAGAGGGUGACCGGCCACAUUGGGACUGAGAUACGGCCCAGACUCCUACGGGAGGCAGCAGUGGGGAAUAUUGCACAAUGGGCGGAAGCCUGAUGCAGCAACGCCGCGUGCGGGAUGACGGCCUUCGGGUUGUAAACCGCUUUCGCCUGUGACGAAGCGUGAGUGACGGUAAUGGGUAAAGAAGCACCGGCUAACUACGUG